RNAcentral lists this transfer RNA (69 nucleotides) under Gymnogobius heptacanthus. Its description in RNAcentral is "tRNA-Arg". It matches the Rfam family "tRNA". Rfam says of the family: Transfer RNA (tRNA) molecules are approximately 80 nucleotides in length. The record is from RNAcentral. Lineage: Eukaryota; Metazoa; Chordata; Actinopteri; Gobiiformes; Gobiidae.
AGGUGUUUAUUUUAAGUAAAAUACUUGAUUUCGGCUCAAGAGCUUGUGGUUAGAGUCCACAAACACCCA